Molecule: ribosomal RNA, 314 nt
Filed under: Salmonella enterica subsp. enterica serovar Rough O:d:1,7
Lineage: Bacteria; Pseudomonadati; Pseudomonadota; Gammaproteobacteria; Enterobacterales; Enterobacteriaceae
Description: bacterial LSU rRNA
Rfam family: Bacterial large subunit ribosomal RNA
Source: RNAcentral
CCAGACAGCCAGGAUGUUGGCUUAGAAGCAGCCAUCAUUUAAAGAAAGCGUAAUAGCUCACUGGUCGAGUCGGCCUGCGCGGAAGAUGUAACGGGGCUAAACCAUGCACCGAAGCUGCGGCAGCGACGCUGAUGCGUUGUUGGGUAGGGGAGCGUUCUGUAAGCCUGCGAAGGUGUGUCGUGAGGCAUGCUGGAGGUAUCAGAAGUGCGAAUGCUGACAUAAGUAACGAUAAAGCGGGUGAAAAGCCCGCUCGCCGGAAGACCAAGGGUUCCUGUCCAACGUUAAUCGGGGCAGGGUGAGUCGACCCCUAAGGC